Molecule: long non-coding RNA, 870 nt
Filed under: Hordeum vulgare
Lineage: Eukaryota; Viridiplantae; Streptophyta; Magnoliopsida; Poales; Poaceae
Description: long non-coding RNA (HVUL_LNC011707)
Source: RNAcentral
AAGUGUUAUGUAGUCGACGUUCACAUAACACGAGUAGAGGAAAAACAACAUACAACACAUCAAAUUAUCGAACGAAUACCAAAUUCACAUGACUACUUAUAGCAUGACUUAUCCCUUGUCCUCAGGAACAAAAGUAACUACUCACAAAGCAUAAUCAUAUUGAUGACCAGAGAGGUUAUGAGUAGCAUCAAAGAUCUGAACAUAUAAUCUUCCACCAAAUAAUCCAACUAGCAUCAACUACAAAGAGUAAUUAACACUACUAGCAAGCUUACAAGUACCAAUCGGAGUCGCGAGACGGAGAUUGGUUACAAGAGAUGAACUAGGGUUUGGAGAUGAGAUGGUGCUGAUGAAGAUGUUGAUGGUGACGAGUCCCCUCCGAUGAGAGGAGUGUUGGUGAUGACGAUGGCGACGAUUUCCCCCUCCGGGAGGGAAGUUUCCCCCGCAGGAUCGUCCUGCCGGACCUCUAGAUUGGUUCUGCUCAAGUUCCGCCUCGUGGCAGCGGCGAAUCCUCCGAAAAGCCUCCUCCUGAUUUUUUAUGGAACGAAACCCUUCUUGUAGCAAAAGAGGGGGGCUAGAGGGCCAGCUGGGAGCCCACAAGCCCCUAGGCGCGGCCAGGGGGGUGGCCGUGCCUACCAGGCUUGUGGCUUCCUGCUGGCGCCCCUCUUGUACUUCUUCGGCCUAGUAUUUUUCAUAAAAUCCAAAAUAAAUCCCCGUUGAUUUUCACGGCUUUUGGAGUUGCACAGAAUAGAUAUCUCAAACUUGCUCCUUUUUCAGGCCAGAAUUCCAGCUGUCGGCAUUCUCCCUCUUCAUGUAAACCUUGCAAAAUAAGAGAGAACAGGCAUAAGUAUUGUACCGUGAAGUGUAAUAACA